Benincasa hispida (wax gourd) is the source of this 591-nucleotide non-coding RNA. Lineage: Eukaryota; Viridiplantae; Streptophyta; Magnoliopsida; Cucurbitales; Cucurbitaceae. The record is from RefSeq and is a predicted model, not a curated record.
UUGGAUUUGGCUAUGGUGGGUCUUGUUUCUCUCUAAUCUUUUCAAGUGCUUUCUUGCAAGUAUUGGUGAAUCUUUUUUUUCAGUUGUAGUUACAAGAAACUUGGAAAAUUAAUGGUAUCAUAGUUCUUGAUGAUACUUCUGUUGUAUGCCUAUGAUUUGAUUAAAAGAGAGGAAAAGAAAGAGGAGUUUGAGCAAUUGUAUUGUUCAUCUUGCUAGAAUAUUCAUUUGUUACUGUUUAGUAGAGGGGAUUCUAAUGGGAGCUUGUGUUGGAAGAAGAAUACAUUGGAUUCUAUGUAAGGGAUUGGCAGAUUGGCAGGGACGUUGAACUCGCCACAACAAGUAGAGUAUUGUGUUCAACGGCGAUAAUGAACCUGAACACCGACAUUACCUAAAACGUAAACCAGUUCGACCACAUAGUUCAAGUCAUUUCACUCUUUGGUUUGAUGGUACUGAGAGAAUUGCUUUACACAGUUAAAUAAAACCAUUGGUUUCUUGCCUUGAACUCUGCAUCUUCAGAUUUUAUAAUAUUGACUGUGUUAUUUAUUCAUUAGUAGAAAUCAUCUGAGCAAGAUUCUUCAAUUUGUCCAAUAA